Molecule: unclassified non-coding RNA, 144 nt
Filed under: soil metagenome
Description: partial internal transcribed spacer 1
Source: RNAcentral
UAAUAAGUGUUUUAUGGCACUUUUUAAAUCCAUAUCCACCUUGUGUGCAAUGUCGGUCGAUCUUCUUCAUGGAGAUCGACCAAACAUCAACCUUUAUCUUUUAACUCUUUAUCUGAAAAAUAUUAUGAAUAAACAAUUCAAAUA